Molecule: ribosomal RNA, 252 nt
Filed under: uncultured bacterium
Lineage: Bacteria
Description: partial 16S ribosomal RNA
Rfam family: Bacterial small subunit ribosomal RNA
Source: RNAcentral
ACGGGUGGAGUAAUGUCUGGGAAACUGCCUGAUGGAGGGGGAGUAACUACUGGAAACGGUAGCUAAUACCGCAUAACGUCGCAAGACCAAAGAGGGGGACCUUCGGGCCUCUUGCCAUCAGAUGUGCCCAGAUGGGAUUAGCUAGUAGGUGGGGUAACGGCUCACCUAGGCGACGAUCCCUAGCUGGUCUGAGAGGAUGACCAGCCACACUGGAACUGAGACACGGUCCAGACUCCUACGGGAGGCAGCAUG